UACGUAGGGUGCAAGCGUUAUCCGGAAUUAUUGGGCGUAAAGAGCUCGUAGGCGGUUUGUCGCGUCUGCUGUGAAAACUGGAGGCUCAACCUCCAGCCUGCAGUGGGUACGGGCAGACUAGAGUGUGGUAGGGGAGACUGGAAUUCCUGGUGUAGCGGUGAAAUGCGCAGAUAUCAGGAGGAACACCGAGUGGCGAAGGCGGUUCUCUGGGC
RNAcentral lists this ribosomal RNA (212 nucleotides) under uncultured bacterium. RNAcentral describes it as "partial 16S ribosomal RNA". It matches the Rfam family "Bacterial small subunit ribosomal RNA", at positions 524 to 734 of the family's 1533-position model. The record is from RNAcentral.